UACGUAGGGCGCAAGCGUUAUCCGGAAUUAUUGGGCGUAAAGAGCUCGUAGGCGGUUUGUCGCGUCUGCCGUGAAAGUCCGGGGCUCAACUCCGGAUCUGCGGUGGGUACGGGCAGACUAGAGUGAUGUAGGGGAGACUGGAAUUCCUGGUGUAGCGGCGAAAUGCGCAGAUAUCAGGAGGAACACCGGUGGCGAAGGCGGGUCUCUGGGCCGAUACUGACGCUGAGGAGCGAAAGCGUGGGGAGCGAACAGG
This 253-nucleotide ribosomal RNA is filed under the name uncultured bacterium. Its description in RNAcentral is "partial 16S ribosomal RNA". It matches the Rfam family "Bacterial small subunit ribosomal RNA", at positions 524 to 776 of the family's 1533-position model. The record is from RNAcentral.